RNAcentral lists this ribosomal RNA (421 nucleotides) under uncultured bacterium. RNAcentral's name for it is "partial 16S ribosomal RNA". It matches the Rfam family "Bacterial small subunit ribosomal RNA", at positions 360 to 773 of the family's 1533-position model. The record is from RNAcentral.
AAUAUUGGACAAUGGGCGAAAGCCUGAUCCAGCCAUGCCGCGUGUGUGAAGAAGGUCUUCGGAUUGUACAGCCCUUUAAGUUGAGAGGCAGGGCAGUAAGUUAAUACCUUGCUGUUUUGACGUUACCGACAGAAUACGCACCGGCUAACUUCGUGCCAGCAGCCGCGGUAAUACGAAGGGUGCAAGCGUUAAUCGGACUUACUGGGCGUAAAGCGGGCGUAGGUGGUUUGUUAAGUUGGAAGUGAAAGCCCUGGGCUCAACCUGGGAACUGCUUUCAUAACUGCUGAGCUAGAGUACGGUAGAGGGUAGUGGAAUUUCCUGUGUAGCGGUGAAAUGCGUAGAUAUAGGAAGGAACACCAGUGGCGAAGGCGACUACCUGGACUGAUACUGACACUGAGGUGCGAAAGCGUGGGGAGCAAAC